UUGCUGUGGGAGGCAGCACACACACUAAAGCUGGAACGAUGCAGACAAGAUUAGCAUGGCCCCUGCGCAAGGAUGACAUGCAAAUGCGUGAGGCGUUCUGUAUUUUU
Myodes glareolus (Bank vole) is the source of this 107-nucleotide non-coding RNA. The record is from RefSeq and is a predicted model, not a curated record. Lineage: Eukaryota; Metazoa; Chordata; Mammalia; Rodentia; Cricetidae.